CAAACCCUUCUCUGCUAAUAUUGCCGUUAUUUAUUGCCCCAUUGGUUCCCCUCUCCUCUUCCUUGACCAUUUUGCUGCCUGGCUACCCUACUGUAAGGUUUCGACCAGUGUUGUCUUUAUCAAGCUUGAUAAAGACCACACUGUUCGAAACAUUGCUUUGUACAUUCUGGUGACAAUAAAUUGCCUGAAAUUGAACCUUUGGAGUGCCCUUAUCCUUUCUUUUGAAGUAUUACAUUUGGGAUUUGGUGCUGAACCCGGAUCUGGUUGCACCCUGGUUCUAAGGUUGGAAGAUUGAGUGCAGUUCCUGUGUUACAUUG
This is a non-coding RNA of Pelobates cultripes (western spadefoot toad), 317 nucleotides long. The record is from the annotation of a GenBank genome assembly. NCBI's taxonomy places the organism in Eukaryota, Metazoa, Chordata, Amphibia, Anura, Pelobatidae.